RNAcentral lists this ribosomal RNA (322 nucleotides) under uncultured soil bacterium. Its description in RNAcentral is "bacterial SSU rRNA". It matches the Rfam family "Bacterial small subunit ribosomal RNA", at positions 26 to 346 of the family's 1533-position model. The record is from RNAcentral.
AGAUUGAACGCUGGCGGCGUGCCUAACACAUGCAAGUCGAGCGGUAACAGGUGUAGCAAUACAUGCUGACGAGCGGCGAACGGGUGAGUAAUGCUUCGGAAUCUACCUUAUGGUGGGGAAUAACUAGCCGAAAGGUUAGCUAAUACCGCAUACGUCCUACGGGAGAAAGCGAGGGGAUCGCAAGACCUUGCGCCAAAAGAUGAGCCGAAGUCGGAUUAGCUAGUUGGUAGGGUAACGGCCUACCAAGGCGACGAUCCGUAGCUGGUCUGAGAGGACGACCAGCCACACUGGAACUGAGACACGGUCCAGACUCCGUACGGGA